AUCCUUUUGUAGUUCAUAAGCGUGAUGACUGAGUUUUCAUGUGUAUGUGUGAGAUGUUCCUCACUCAAACCUCAUUAUCACGUCAGCACAUUACCCAUCUGACA
Lemur catta (Ring-tailed lemur) is the source of this 104-nucleotide small nucleolar RNA. RefSeq annotates it as small nucleolar RNA U13. The transcript has a single exon. NCBI's taxonomy places the organism in Eukaryota, Metazoa, Chordata, Mammalia, Primates, Lemuridae. The record is from RefSeq and is a predicted model, not a curated record.